This 2925-nucleotide ribosomal RNA is filed under the name Amnimonas aquatica. RNAcentral's name for it is "bacterial LSU rRNA". It matches the Rfam family "Bacterial large subunit ribosomal RNA". Lineage: Bacteria; Pseudomonadati; Pseudomonadota; Gammaproteobacteria; Moraxellales; Moraxellaceae. The record is from RNAcentral.
GUUAUAUGGUCAAGUGACUAAGUGCACACGGUGGAUGCCUUGGCAGUCAGAGGCGAUGAAAGACGUGGUAGCCUGCGAAAAGCUUCGGGGAGGUGGCAAACAACCUUUGAUCCGGAGAUGUCUGAAUGGGGAAACCCACGCGGGGUCAAUGCCCGCGUAUCAUUAACUGAAUCCAUAGGUUAAUGAGGCGAACGGGGGGAAGUGAAACAUCUCAGUACCCCUAGGAACAGAAAUCAACCGAGAUUCCGUAAGUAGCGGCGAGCGAACACGGACCAGCCUCCAGUCUUUAGCAUCAGCGUUAGUGGAAGCCUCUGGAAAGUGGCGCCAUAGUGGGUGAUAGCCCCGUACACGAAAACGAUGGUGUGGAACUAAGUCUGGGACAAGUAGGGCGGGGCACGAGAAACCCUGUCUGAAUAUGGGGGGACCAUCCUCCAAGGCUAAAUACUCCUGACUGACCGAUAGUGAACCAGUACCGUGAGGGAAAGGCGAAAAGAACCCCGGCGAGGGGAGUGAAAUAGAACCUGAAACCGUGUGCAUACAAGCAGUGGGAGCCCCUUCGUGGGGUGACUGCGUACCUUUUGUAUAAUGGGUCAGCGAAUUAUUCUCAGUAGCAAGGUUAACCGUGUAGGGGAGCCGUAGGGAAACCGAGUCUUAAUAGGGCGUCUAGUUGCUGGGAGUAGACCCGAAACCGAGUGAUCUAUCCAUGAGCAGGAUGAAGGUGCCGUAACAGGCACUGGAGGUCCGAACCCACUGUCGUUGAAAAGCCAGGGGAUGACUUGUGGAUAGGGGUGAAAGGCUAAUCAAACUCGGUGAUAGCUGGUUCUCCCCGAAAGCUAUUUAGGUAGCGCCUCGGACGAAUACCCACGGGGGUAGAGCACUGUUUCGGCUAGGGGGUCACCUCGACUUACCAAACCGAUGCAAACUCCGAAUACCGUGGAGUAAUAUCCGGGAGACAGACGGUGGGUGCUAACGUCCAUCGUCAAGAGGGCAACAACCCAGACCGCCAGCUAAGGCCCCAAAUUCCUGGUUAAGUGGGAAACGAUGUGGGAAGGCAUAGACAGCUAGGAGGUUGGCUUAGAAGCAGCCACCCUUUAAAGAAAGCGUAAUAGCUCACUAGUCGAGUCGGCCUGCGCGGAAGAUGUAACGGGGCUCAAACCAGGAGCCGAAGCUGCGGAUGCACACUCUGUGUGCGUGGUAGGGGAGCGUUCUGUAAGCCGUUGAAGGUGUGUUGAGAAGCAUGCUGGAGGUAUCAGAAGUGCGAAUGCUGACGUGAGUAACGAUAAUGGGGGUGAAAAACCCCCACGCCGAAAGACCAAGGGUUCCUGCGCAACGUUAAUCGGCGCAGGGUGAGUCGGCCCCUAAGGCGAGGCUGAGAAGCGUAGUCGAUGGGAAACCGGUUAAUAUUCCGAUACUACUCAUUAUUGCGAUGGGGGGACGGAGAAGGCUAGGUAUACCGGGCGUUGGUUGUCCCGGAGAAAGGUUGUAGGCAGAGAUUCUAGGCAAAUCCGGAGUCUUAAUGCUGAGAACUGAGACUAGGUCCCACGUGGACUGAAGUUACUGAUGCCAUGCUUCCAAGAAAAGCCUCUAAGCUUCAGAUAGUGAGUAACCGUACCCGAAACCGACACAGGUGGUCAGGUCGAGAAGACCAAGGCGCUUGAGAGAACUCUGGUGAAGGAACUAGGCAAAAUGGCACCGUAACUUCGGGAGAAGGUGCGCUGCUGCGCGUGAAGGGCUUGCCCCGUAAGCGCAUGGCAGCCUCAGAAACCAGGCCGCUGCGACUGUUUAUUAAAAACACAGCACUCUGCAAACACGAAAGUGGACGUAUAGGGUGUGACGCCUGCCCGGUGCCGGAAGGUUAAUUGAUGGGGUUAGCGAAAGCGAAGCUCUUGAUCGAAGCCCCGGUAAACGGCGGCCGUAACUAUAACGGUCCUAAGGUAGCGAAAUUCCUUGUCGGGUAAGUUCCGACCUGCACGAAUGGCGUAACGAUGGCGGCGCUGUCUCCACCAGAGACUCAGUGAAAUCGAAAUAGCGGUGAAGAUGCCGUUUACCCGCGGCUAGACGGAAAGACCCCGUGAACCUUUACUGCAGCUUGACAUUGAACUUUGAUUUUACUUGUGUAGGAUAGCUGGGAGGCUUUGAAGUGCGGACGCUAGUUCGCAUGGAGCCGACGUUGAAAUACCAGCCUGGUAACGUUGAGGUUCUAACCUAGCCCCCUUAUCGGGGGUGGGGACAAUGUCUGGUGGGUAGUUUGACUGGGGCGGUCUCCUCCUAAAGAGUAACGGAGGAGCACGAAGGUGCGCUAAUCACGGUCGGAAAUCGUGAGGUUAGUGUAAAGGCACAAGCGCGCUUAACUGCGAGGCCGACAAGCCGAGCAGGUACGAAAGUAGGUCUUAGUGAUCCGGUGGUUCUGUAUGGAAGGGCCAUCGCUCAACGGAUAAAAGGUACUCUGGGGAUAACAGGCUGAUACCGCCCAAGAGUUCAUAUCGACGGCGGUGUUUGGCACCUCGAUGUCGGCUCAUCUCAUCCUGGGGCUGAAGCAGGUCCCAAGGGUAUGGCUGUUCGCCAUUUAAAGAGGUACGCGAGCUGGGUUUAGAACGUCGUGAGACAGUUCGGUCCCUAUCUACCGUGGGCGUUUGAGACUUGAGAGGAGCUGCUUCUAGUACGAGAGGACCGAAGUGGACGUACCUCUGGUGUUCCGGUUGUCACGCCAGUGGCAUUGCCGGGUAGCUAUGUACGGAAGGGAUAACCGCUGAAAGCAUCUAAGCGGGAAGCCCACCUCAAGAUUAGGUCUCACUGGAGCUUUAAGCUCCCUAAAGGGUCGUUCGAGACCAGGACGUUGAUAGGUUCGGUGUGGAAGCGCAGUGAUGCGUGAAGCUAACGAAUACUAAUUGCCCGUGAGGCUUGACCAUAUAACACCCAAGCAGU